UGUAGCUCAGUGAUAGAGCACUCUCCCAACUCUCGAGAGGGCCUGGGUUCAACUCCCAGCA
RNAcentral lists this transfer RNA (61 nucleotides) under Mesocricetus auratus (golden hamster). It matches the Rfam family "tRNA", at positions 6 to 65 of the family's 71-position model. From Rfam's summary of the family: Transfer RNA (tRNA) molecules are approximately 80 nucleotides in length. Their secondary structure includes four short double-helical elements and three loops (D, anti-codon, and T loops). The record is from Rfam by way of RNAcentral. Lineage: Eukaryota; Metazoa; Chordata; Mammalia; Rodentia; Cricetidae.